This 154-nucleotide small RNA is filed under the name Enterobacter kobei. RNAcentral's name for it is "sroC RNA". It matches the Rfam family "sroC RNA". From Rfam's summary of the family: This family consists of a number of bacterial sroC RNA genes of around 160 bases in length. sroC is found in several Enterobacterial species. The record is from RNAcentral. Lineage: Bacteria; Pseudomonadati; Pseudomonadota; Gammaproteobacteria; Enterobacterales; Enterobacteriaceae.
ACUAAUUAAAACCAUUAGGGGCGGGAUCUCCUGCCCUCUCGAUUGAUACGAAGCACGGACAGACUAUACGGUGAAGGGUCGUUCCCCCUUCAGCGCGAAUAUUACAGCUUCUUAUUAAUCUUCGAGGGUAGCGCUGCUACCCUUUUUUUUCAGA